GACGAACGCUGGCGGCGUGCUUAACACAUGCAAGUCGAACGGUGAAGCGCCUUCCUUUUUGGUGGGUGUGGAUGAGUGGCGAACGGGUGAGUAACACGUGAGUAACCUGCCCCCUUCUUCUGGAUAACCGCAUGAAAGUGUGGCUAAUACGGGAUAUUCUGGGUCUGUCGCAUGAUGGGUCUGGGAAAGAUAUUGUUUCGGUGGGGGAUGGGCUCGCGGCCUAUCAGCUUGUUGGUGGGGUGAUGGCCUACCAAGGCGGUGAGGGGUAGCCGGCCUGAGAGGGUGGACGGUCACACUGGGACUGAGACACGGCCCAGACUCCUACGGGAGGCAGCAGUGGGGAAUAUUGCACAAUGGGCGCAAGCCUGAUGCAGCGACGCCGCGUGAGGGAUGGAGGCCUUCGGGUUGUGAACCUCUUUCGCCAGUGAAGCAGGCCUGCCUCGUUUGUGGGUGGGUUGACGGUAGCUGGAUAAGAAGCGCCGGCUAACUACGUG
Molecule: ribosomal RNA, 494 nt
Filed under: uncultured bacterium
Lineage: Bacteria
Description: partial 16S ribosomal RNA
Rfam family: Bacterial small subunit ribosomal RNA
Source: RNAcentral